This 253-nucleotide ribosomal RNA is filed under the name uncultured bacterium. RNAcentral describes it as "partial 16S ribosomal RNA". It matches the Rfam family "Bacterial small subunit ribosomal RNA", at positions 524 to 776 of the family's 1533-position model. The record is from RNAcentral.
UACGAAGGGGGCUAGCGUUGCUCGGAAUCACUGGGCGUAAAGCGCACGUAGGCGGAUUGUUAAGUCAGGGGUGAAAUCCUGGAGCUCAACUCCAGAACUGCCUUUGAUACUGGCGAUCUUGAGUCCGGGAGAGGUGAGUGGAACUGCGAGUGUAGAGGUGAAAUUCGUAGAUAUUCGCAAGAACACCAGUGGCGAAGGCGGCUCACUGGCCCGGUACUGACGCUGAGGAGCGAAAGCGUGGGGGGCGAACAGG